GGGGAGGUGCCGGAGUGGACGAUCGGGGCCGCCUGCUAAGUGGUUGUCGGGGUUAUACUCGACCGAGGGUUCGAAUCCCUCCCUCCCCGCCA
This 92-nucleotide transfer RNA is filed under the name Anaerolineales bacterium. RNAcentral describes it as "tRNA-Ser". It matches the Rfam family "tRNA". Rfam says of the family: Transfer RNA (tRNA) molecules are approximately 80 nucleotides in length. Lineage: Bacteria; Bacillati; Chloroflexota; Anaerolineae; Anaerolineales. The record is from RNAcentral.